ACUCCUACGGGAGGCAGCAGUGGGGAAUAUUGCACAAUGGGCGCAAGCCUGAUGCAGCGACGCCGCGUGGGGGAUGACGGCCUUCGGGUUGUAAACUCCUUUCGCUAGGGACGAAGCUUUUUGUGACGGUACCUAGAUAA
Molecule: ribosomal RNA, 140 nt
Filed under: uncultured Actinomycetes bacterium
Lineage: Bacteria; Bacillati; Actinomycetota; Actinomycetes
Description: uncultured actinobacterium partial 16S ribosomal RNA
Rfam family: Bacterial small subunit ribosomal RNA
Source: RNAcentral